CUCCCCUCUCACCUGCUUCCCCAGGGGAGGCUCUGAGGAGCCAGAGGAGACUGAGCAGCAACAUGGGCGUCAGCAGGCUGGGAGGACUCCACAAGGGUGCGCGGUGGAUCCUGGUCCCAACACGGUGGACUGGAUGCCAGUUCCAGUGGAUCCGUAACCCUCCUCUGACCUCUGAGGACUCCCGCAUGGAUGCAGUGCACAUACGGUCACUCAGCCAUGAAGUAAGCAACAGCCUCCUGUACCCUGGCGCUUUGAGAUGCUCCACCUCACCAGUGAUCCAGAAACUUCUGUCAAGAUAGUGAACACACAUGCAUUCGGAGCCAACCUGAGUUCAGUUCCCAGUAUGGACGUAAGGUGGGUCCAAAUCGCCUGUAACCUCAGCUUUGAGGAAUCUGGCUUCCCCUUCUGACCUCUGUAGAUAACUGUAUUCAUACAUAUACUCUCCCAUACACACACACACACAUAUAC
Long non-coding RNA from Mastomys coucha (southern multimammate mouse), 468 nucleotides. RefSeq lists it as uncharacterized. The transcript is spliced from 3 exons. The record is from RefSeq and is a predicted model, not a curated record. Lineage: Eukaryota; Metazoa; Chordata; Mammalia; Rodentia; Muridae.